ACAGCUAGCUAUUUAGGUUAGAGUUUGAUCCUGGCUCAGGACGAACGCUGGCGGCGUGCUUAACACAUGCAAGUCAAGGGGGCCCGCAAGGGCAACCGGCGAACGGGUGCGUAACACGUGAGCAACCUGCCUUUGUGUGGGGGAUAGCCGGCCCAACGGCCGGGUAAUACCGCAUACGAUUCUUUGGGGGAGUCCCCAGGGAAGGAAACCUCCGGGGCACAAAGAGGGGCUCGCGGCCUAUCAGCUAGUUGGCGGGGUAAUGGCCCACCAAGGCGACGACGGGUAGCUGGUCUGAGAGGAUGGCCAGCCACAUUGGGACUGAGAGACGGCCCAGACUCCUACGGGAGGCAGCAGUGGGGAAUCUUGCGCAAUGGCCGAAAGGCUGACGCAGCGACGCCGCGUGUGGGAUGACGCCUUUCGGGGUGUAAACCACUGUUGCCCGGGACGAACAUGGUCUUUCGAGACCACUGACGGUACCGGGUGAGGAAGCACCGGCUAACUCCGUGCCAGCAGCCGCGGUAAU
This 523-nucleotide ribosomal RNA is filed under the name uncultured bacterium. RNAcentral describes it as "bacterial SSU rRNA". It matches the Rfam family "Bacterial small subunit ribosomal RNA", at positions 1 to 524 of the family's 1533-position model. The record is from RNAcentral.